GAGGAAUAUUGGACAAUGGGUGGAAGCCUGAUCCAGCCAUCCCGCGUGUAGGAUGACGGCCUUAUGGGUUGUAAACUACUUUUAUCUGGGGAUAAACCUACUUACGUGUAAGUAGUUGAAGGUACCAGAAGAAUAAGCACCGGCUAACUCCGUGCCAGCAGCCGCGGUAAUACGGAGGGUGCAAGCGUUAUCCGGAUUUAUUGGGUUUAAAGGGUCCGUAGGCGGAUUAAUAAGUCAGUGGUGAAAGCCUAUCGCUUAACGAUAGAACUGCCAUUGAUACUGUUAGUCUUGAGUGAUGUUGAAGUGGCUGGAAUGUGUAGUGUAGCGGUGAAAUGCUUAGAUAUUACGCAGAACACCAAUUGCGAAGGCAGGUCACUAAGUAUCAACUGACGCUGAUGGACGAAAGCGUGGGGAGCGAAC
RNAcentral lists this ribosomal RNA (420 nucleotides) under uncultured bacterium. RNAcentral's name for it is "bacterial SSU rRNA". It matches the Rfam family "Bacterial small subunit ribosomal RNA", at positions 356 to 773 of the family's 1533-position model. The record is from RNAcentral.